RNAcentral lists this ribosomal RNA (468 nucleotides) under uncultured bacterium. RNAcentral's name for it is "partial 16S ribosomal RNA". It matches the Rfam family "Bacterial small subunit ribosomal RNA", at positions 28 to 507 of the family's 1533-position model. The record is from RNAcentral.
GACGAACGCUGGCGGCGCGCCUAACACAUGCAAGUCGAACGGAGUCAAGAGGAGCUUGCUUUUCUUGACUUAGUGGCGCACGGGUGAGUAACGCGUGAGUAACCUGCCCUGGAGUGGGGGACAACAGUUGGAAACGACUGCUAAUACCGCAUAAGCCCACGGAACUGCAUGGAUCUGCGGGAAAAGGAUUUAUUCGCUCUAGGAUGGACUCGCGUCCAAUUAGCUAGUUGGUGAGGUAACGGCCCACCAAGGCGACGAUUGGUAGCCGGACUGAGAGGUUGAACGGCCACAUUGGGACUGAGACACGGCCCAGACUCCUACGGGAAGCAGCAGUGGGGGAUAUUGCACAAUGGGGGAAACCCUGAUGCAGCGACGCCGCGUGGAGGAAGAAGGUUUUCGGAUUGUAAACUCCUGUCGUUAGGGACGAUAAUGACGGUACCUAACAAGAAAGCACCAGCUAACUACGUG